RNAcentral lists this ribosomal RNA (460 nucleotides) under uncultured bacterium. RNAcentral's name for it is "partial 16S ribosomal RNA". It matches the Rfam family "Bacterial small subunit ribosomal RNA", at positions 338 to 795 of the family's 1533-position model. The record is from RNAcentral.
CCUACGGGAUGCAGCAGUGAGGAAUAUUGGUCAAUGGGCGGAAGCCUGAACCAGCCAAGUAGCGUGCAGGAUGACGGCCCUACGGGUUGUAAACUGCUUUUAUGCGGGACUAACGCGCCUUACGUGUAGGGCUUUGCAUGUACCGUAUGAAUAAGGACCGGCUAAUUCCGUGCCAGCAGCCGCGGUAAUACGGAAGGUCCGGGCGUUAUCCGGAUUUAUUGGGUUUAAAGGGAGCGUAGGCCGCAUGUCAAGCGUGCUGUGAAAUUGUCGGGCUCAACCCGGGCAUUGCAGCGCGAACUGGCGUGCUUGAGUCCGCGGAAGGCAGGCGGAAUUCGUGGUGUAGCGGUGAAAUGCUUAGAUAUGACGAAGAACCCCGAUUGCGAAGGCAGCUUGCUGCAGCGGAACUGACGCUGAUGCUCGAAAGCGCGGGUAUCGAACAGGAUUAGAUACCCUAGUAGUC